GUUAUUCUUUUGGGGACAUCCGAUCAAAUUGGAACCAUACAAAGAAAAUUAGCAUGACCCCUUCGCAAGGAUGACAGUUUUUUCGUAUUGAAUUGCCUUACCUGAUU
Molecule: small nuclear RNA, 107 nt
Organism: Cucurbita pepo subsp. pepo (vegetable marrow)
Lineage: Eukaryota; Viridiplantae; Streptophyta; Magnoliopsida; Cucurbitales; Cucurbitaceae
Source: RefSeq, a predicted model, not a curated record